RNAcentral lists this ribosomal RNA (460 nucleotides) under uncultured bacterium. RNAcentral describes it as "bacterial SSU rRNA". It matches the Rfam family "Bacterial small subunit ribosomal RNA", at positions 29 to 532 of the family's 1533-position model. The record is from RNAcentral.
AACGAACGCUGGCGGCAUGCCUAACACAUGCAAGUCGAACGAGACCUUCGGGUCUAGUGGCGCACGGGUGCGUAACACGUGGGAAUCUGCCCUUCGGUUCGGAAUAACAGAGAGAAAUUUCUGCUAAUACCGGAUAACGACGAAAGUCCAAAGAUUUAUCGCCGAAGGAUGAGCCCGCGUAGGAUUAGGUAGUUGGUGGGGUAAUGGCCUACCAAGCCGACGAUCCUUAGCUGGUCUGAGAGGAUGAUCAGCCACACUGGGACUGAGACACGGCCCAGACUCCUACGGGAGGCAGCAGUGGGGAAUAUUGGACAAUGGGCGAAAGCCUGAUCCAGCAAUGCCGCGUGAGUGAUGAAGGCCUUAGGGUUGUAAAGCUCUUUUACCAGGGGAUGAUAAUGACAGUACCUGGAGAAUAAGCUCCGGCUAACUCCGUGCCAGCAGCCGCGUAAACUGUAGUCGU